RNAcentral lists this microRNA (24 nucleotides) under Equus caballus (horse). RNAcentral's name for it is "eca-miR-9047". Lineage: Eukaryota; Metazoa; Chordata; Mammalia; Perissodactyla; Equidae. The record is from miRBase by way of RNAcentral.
UGUUCCCGGCUGACCCUGGCUAGG